CCUUUAUGGAGAGUUUGAUCCUGGCUCAGGACGAACGCUGGCGGCGUGCCUAAUACAUGCAAGUCGAGCGGAUCUUGUCCUUCGGGACAAGAUUAGCGGCGGACGGGUGAGUAACACGUAGGCAACCUGCCCUCAAGACUGGGAUAACCUCCGGAAACGGAUGCUAAUACCGGAUAUGCGGUUUCUCCUCCUGGAGAGAUCGGGAAAGACGGAGCAAUCUGUCGCUUGGGGAUGGGCCUGCGGCGCAUUAGCUAGUUGGUGAGGUAACGGCUCACCAAGGCGACGAUGCGUAGCCGACCUGAGAGGGUGAUCGGCCACA
RNAcentral lists this ribosomal RNA (319 nucleotides) under Paenibacillus sp. RU4T. RNAcentral describes it as "bacterial SSU rRNA". It matches the Rfam family "Bacterial small subunit ribosomal RNA", at positions 1 to 312 of the family's 1533-position model. RNAcentral also lists the same sequence under 1 other name. The record is from RNAcentral. Lineage: Bacteria; Bacillati; Bacillota; Bacilli; Caryophanales; Paenibacillaceae.